RNAcentral lists this ribosomal RNA (1372 nucleotides) under uncultured bacterium. RNAcentral describes it as "bacterial SSU rRNA". It matches the Rfam family "Bacterial small subunit ribosomal RNA", at positions 27 to 1381 of the family's 1533-position model. The record is from RNAcentral.
GAACAAACGCUGGCGGCGUGUCUUAAGCAUGCAAGUUGAGCGGCAAGGAGGAGAGAUCCUCCCUAGAGCGGCGGACUGGUGAGUAACGCGUGGGUAAUCUAUCGUAGGCAUGGGGAUAGUCACUAGAAAUAGUGGGUAAUACCGAAUACGUUCCAUGAGGGGAGUAUUCAUGGAAGAAAGGGUGCUACGGCACUGGCCUUAGGUGAGCUCGCGUCCCAUUAGCCAGUUGGUGAGGUAAAGGCCCACCAAGGCGAUGAUGGGUAGCCGGCCUGAGAGGGUGUACGGCCACACUGGGACUGAGAUACGGCCCAGACUCCUACGGGAGGCAGCAGCUAAGAAUAUUCCGCAAUGGACGAAAGUCUGACGGAGCGACGCCGCGUGGAUGAAGAAGGCCGAAAGGUUGUAAAGUUCUUUUGCUAGGGGAGAAUAAGUGAGGGAGGGAAUGCCCUCAUGAUGACAAGGACUAGCGAAUAAGCAACGGCUAACUCCGUGCCAGCAGCCGCGGUAACACGGGGGUUGCGAGCGUUGUCCGGAAUUACUAGGCGUAAAGGGCAGGUAGGCGGAUCUACGAGUUUUUUGUUAAAGGCUACGGCUCAACUGUAGUAGAGCAGGAGAUACUGUAGGUCUGGAAUGCGGUAGGGGAAGACAGAAUUCCUGGUGUAGCGGUGGAAUGCGCAGAGAUCAGGAGGAAUACCGAAGGCGAAGGCAGUCUUCUAGGCCGUAAUUGACGCUUAACUGCGAAGGUGUGGGGAUCAAACAGGAUUAGAUACCCUGGUAGUCCACACAGUAAACGAUAAUCACUAGAUGUCGGGUUCUAGAUGGAUUCGGUGUCGGAGCAAACGCGAUAAGUGAUUCGCCUGGGGAGUACGAUCGCAAGGUUGAAACUCAAAGGAAUUGACGGGGGCCCGCACAAGCGGUGGAGCAUGUGGUUUAAUUCGAGGCAACGCGAAGAACCUUACCCGGUUUUGACAUCCACGGGAGGCUUCAGAGAUGGAGCUGUGCCGGCGUAAGCUGGAGCCGUGAGACAGGUGCUGCAUGGCUGUCGUCAGCUCGUGUCGUGAGAUGUUGGGUUAAGUCCCGCAACGAGCGCAACCCUUGCCUUCAGUUACCAUCAUUAAGUUGGGGACUCUGGAGGGACCGCUGCGGUAACAACGCAGAGGAAGAUGGGGACGACGUCAAGUCAUCAUGGUCCUUAUGGCCGGGGCUACACACGUGCUACAAUGGCAGUUACAGAGGGAAGCGAUUCAGUAAUGAGGAGCGAAACUCAGAAAAGCUGCCGCAGUUCGGAUUGAGGUCUGCAACUCGGCCUCAUGAAGUCGGAAUCGCUAGUAAUCGCGCAACAUCAUGGCGCGGUGAAUACGUUCCCGGGCCU